RNAcentral lists this small nuclear RNA (321 nucleotides) under Castor canadensis (American beaver). RNAcentral's name for it is "7SK RNA (ENSCCNG00000008083.1)". It matches the Rfam family "7SK RNA". From Rfam's summary of the family: 7SK was discovered as an abundant small nuclear RNA in the mid-70s but a possible function has only recently been suggested. Two independent studies have found that 7SK RNA binds the CDK9/cyclin T complex (known as elongation factor P-TEFb). P-TEFb activates transcription by phosphorylating the C-terminal domain of RNA polymerase II. The record is from Rfam by way of RNAcentral. Lineage: Eukaryota; Metazoa; Chordata; Mammalia; Rodentia; Castoridae.
GGGUAUGGGGACGAUCUGGCUGCGACAUCUGUCACCCCAUUGAACGCCAGGGUUGAUUUGGCUGAUCUGGCUGGCUUAGGCGGGUGUCCCCUUCCUCCCUCACCGCUCCACGUACAUCCCUCCCGAAGCUGCGCGCUCAGUCGAAAAGGACGACCAUCCCUGAUAGAGGAGGACCGUUCUUUGAUCAAGAGUAUAGGAGUACUGUGCUCCCCGGCUCGAACCUCCAAAUGAGCUCUCAAGUGAACCUUGUCCUCAGCCUCCUGAGAAACUAGGACUACACGUGUGUCACCACACCAUGCAUAAAAUGGCAUUUUUUUAGUA